RNAcentral lists this transfer RNA (73 nucleotides) under Mustela putorius furo (domestic ferret). It matches the Rfam family "tRNA". Rfam says of the family: Transfer RNA (tRNA) molecules are approximately 80 nucleotides in length. Their secondary structure includes four short double-helical elements and three loops (D, anti-codon, and T loops). Lineage: Eukaryota; Metazoa; Chordata; Mammalia; Carnivora; Mustelidae. The record is from Rfam by way of RNAcentral.
GCCUGGCUGGGUCAUUCAGAAGAGCAUGUGACUUUUGAUCUCAGGGUCGUGAGUUCAAGCCCCACGUUGGGUA